Aedes aegypti (yellow fever mosquito) is the source of this 816-nucleotide long non-coding RNA. RefSeq lists it as uncharacterized. The record is from RefSeq and is a predicted model, not a curated record. The transcript has 2 exons. NCBI's taxonomy places the organism in Eukaryota, Metazoa, Arthropoda, Insecta, Diptera, Culicidae.
GUAUGCCACCCUUACACACAAUGCUGCAUACUGUAGCUCUCAAUAUGUAAAGAAGAAUAUUACAACUAAGCUGAAGUAAAAAUAAAUGAGACGAGCUGUAGCUCGUCGGCUUUUUACGUUUGACUCUUGAACGAUAAACAUGUCUUUUAUUAUACGUCUCUUCACCCAUAAUUAUCAGUAAAUUCUAUUUAAAUCUAGUUGAUCCGUUAAUACAAUGUUGAAAUAAUAUAGAUUUAACAGUGGCGACGAGGAAAAACAGGUUAUUGACAAAUCCAAGUGGAUAAUUUUACACAAUAUUUAGCGACAUCAGCGUCACCGAGAGUAUAGUGCACAAUGCAUGCAACGGCAAAUUUUCUGUGGAAGUGAACAAUUGAUAAAAAUAAAGAGCCCUUUCAGCACGUGAGGGUAGAAAAUGAUGGUUUACGGAACGAUUUGUAGCUGACUGGCUUAUAGCAUGGUAUUCAAAGGGAUAUGCAUUCAUCUGGGAGAGAAAAAUCGAGACCGCUACUGCUUACAAAACGGAUAUUCGGAGGAAACAAGUAUGGAGGCUAUGGCUAUUCGAGAGCGGUUACUAGUGAGACAAAAUAGUCGAUUACGUGUGAAUAGUAUGAUAGGUGUGCCUAGCAUGCGUUCAGAUAUGGACAAAUAUUCCGAUACGUUAGUUUGUCUGGAAAAGAAGCUCAAGCAAAUGCUUUUGAGUUCUGUGAUUUCUUACGCUUUACAUUGUGUAGUGCUCUGAUUUGAGUAGUUAAUUUGAUCUAGUAAAUAUGUUGUAUAUAGCCUUUAUAUUUCUUUUUAAGGGGGGAGAAUUGUGGU